GUACAUUUGGUGUAGUGAUAUCAUAAUACCCUCCCACGAUACUGACCAAGGUUCAAUUCCCUGAAUGCGUA
Molecule: transfer RNA, 71 nt
Filed under: Ipomoea nil (Japanese morning glory)
Lineage: Eukaryota; Viridiplantae; Streptophyta; Magnoliopsida; Solanales; Convolvulaceae
Rfam family: tRNA
About the family: Transfer RNA (tRNA) molecules are approximately 80 nucleotides in length.
Source: Rfam by way of RNAcentral